This 773-nucleotide ribosomal RNA is filed under the name uncultured bacterium. RNAcentral describes it as "bacterial SSU rRNA". It matches the Rfam family "Bacterial small subunit ribosomal RNA", at positions 8 to 796 of the family's 1533-position model. The record is from RNAcentral.
AGAGUUUGAUCCUGGCUCAGAUUGAACGCUGGCGGCAUGCCUUACACAUGCAAGUCGAACGGUAACAGGGAGCUUGCUCCGCUGACGAGUGGCGAACGGGUGAGUAAUAUAUCGGAACGUACCAUUCAGUGGGGGAUAACGUAGCGAAAGUUACGCUAAUACCGCAUAUUCUGUGAGCAGGAAAGCAGGGGAUCGCAAGACCUUGCGCUGAUUGAGCGGCCGAUAUCAGAUUAGCUUGUUGGUGAGGUAAAAGCUCACCAAGGCGACGACGGGUAGCCGGCCUGAGAGGGUGACCGGCCACACUGGGACUGAGACACGGCCCAGACUCCUACGGGAGGCAGCAGUGGGGAAUAUUGCACAAUGGGCGCAAGCCUGAUGCAGCGACGCCGCGUGAGGGAUGACGGCCUUCGGGUUGUAAACCUCUUUCAGUAGGGAAGAAGCGAAAGUGACGGUACCUGCAGAAGAAGCGCCGGCUAACUACGUGCCAGCAGCCGCGGUAAUACGUAGGGCGCAAGCGUUAUCCGGAAUUAUUGGGCGUAAAGAGCUCGUAGGCGGUUUGUCGCGUCUGCCGUGAAAGUCCGGGGCUCAACUCCGGAUCUGCGGUGGGUACGGGCAGACUAGAGUGAUGUAGGGGAGACUGGAAUUCCUGGUGUAGCGGUGAAAUGCGCAGAUAUCAGGAGGAACACCGAUGGCGAAGGCAGGUCUCUGGGCAUUAACUGACGCUGAGGAGCGAAAGCAUGGGGAGCGAACAGGAUUAGAUACCCUGGUAGUCC